UUUAACCGGUUUAACCGGUUUAACCGGUUCCGGUUCCGGUUUAACCGGUUUAACCGGUUCCGGUUAAAAAAAAUUUGGAACCGGACCGGUAAAUUAAUAUCCGGUUAACCGGAACCGGUUAACCGGUAUAACCGGUUCCGGUUCGGUUCCGGUUUAACCGGUUCCGGUUACCGGUUAAACCGGUUACAGUUUAACCGGUUGACACCUUUAGGUGCGGACCAGAUGGCAAAAUUGAUGAAAACCUGGGUUGAAAGUGCUAAAAGUACUGGCAAGCUAUCGAGGCUACUGUUGUAGAGAGUUGCACAAUAAUAAUUGUAUCUUUGAUAAUAGUUUCUUCAUAGUUUGGGAAAAUAAAACGUUACCUUUACGUGUAUGUUUAAUUACUACUAUAACAUUUUAAUGUAUUAGAUGCAUUGUAUGAUAGUACAACUAUGUAUUUGAAAUUACAAUUACCAGUUCAA
This is a long non-coding RNA of Lycium barbarum (goji berry), 461 nucleotides long. RefSeq lists it as uncharacterized. The record is from RefSeq and is a predicted model, not a curated record. NCBI's taxonomy places the organism in Eukaryota, Viridiplantae, Streptophyta, Magnoliopsida, Solanales, Solanaceae. The transcript has 2 exons.